AGUUUGAUCAUGGCUCAGGAUGAACGCUAGCGGCAGGCUUAAUACAUUCAAGUCAAGGGGGUAGCAAUACAACCGGCGCACGGGUGAGUAACGCGUACACAACAUACCAUAUACUGGGGUAUAGCUUUGGGAAACUGAAGGUAAUCCCCCAUAACAUUGCGAGAGGGCAUCUGAUUGCAAUUAAAGUUUCGGCGGUAUAUGAUUGGUGUGCGUUUGAUUAGCUAGUUGGUAGGGUAACGGCCUACCAAGGCGACGAUCAAUAGCUGGCGUGAGAGCGCGACCAGCCACACUGGAACUGAGACACGGUCCAGACUCCUACGGGAGGCAGCAGUAGGGAAUAUUGGACAAUGGAGGAAACUCUGAUCCAGCCAUGCCGCGUGAUAGAUGAAGGCCCUCUGGGUUGUAAAUAUCUUUUAUCUGGGAAGAAACAAUCUUAUUCUUAAGAUCUUGACGGCACCAGAGGAAUAAGCACCGGCUAACUCCGUG
RNAcentral lists this ribosomal RNA (486 nucleotides) under uncultured bacterium. Its description in RNAcentral is "bacterial SSU rRNA". It matches the Rfam family "Bacterial small subunit ribosomal RNA", at positions 10 to 507 of the family's 1533-position model. The record is from RNAcentral.